RNAcentral lists this ribosomal RNA (253 nucleotides) under uncultured bacterium. Its description in RNAcentral is "partial 16S ribosomal RNA". It matches the Rfam family "Bacterial small subunit ribosomal RNA", at positions 524 to 776 of the family's 1533-position model. The record is from RNAcentral.
UACGUAGGGACCGAGCGUUGUCCGGAAUCAUUGGGCGUAAAGAGCGUGUAGGCGGCUUGGUAAGUCUUGCGUGAAAUCUCGGGGCUCAACCCCGAGCGGUCGUGAGAAACUGGCAGGCUAGAGUGCGGGAGAGGAGAGUGGAAUUCCAGGUGUAGCGGUGAAAUGCGCAGAUAUCAGGAAGAACACCCGUGGCGAAGGCGGCUCUCUGGAACGCAACUGACGCUGAGACGCGAAAGCGUGGGGAGCAAACAGG